RNAcentral lists this long non-coding RNA (366 nucleotides) under Vulpes vulpes (red fox). RNAcentral's name for it is "lncRNA (ENSVVUG00000003339.1)". The record is from RNAcentral. Lineage: Eukaryota; Metazoa; Chordata; Mammalia; Carnivora; Canidae.
GGAAACUGGAAUACAGGGGUUAUCAAGACAUAGAUGACUAUCAAAGCCAAUGUGAGACAAGGUUACAGAGAGGAGGGUGAGUGUUAAUAGAUCAAUAAACACUACUGGUAAUGGGUUUUUGGAGAAGACACUCCCUUUUCUAUCUUUACCUUUUUUCUUUCUCUCACAGGCUGGCAUCGGUGUCAGAGCAGCCACCAAACUAUUUAAAAAUGAAGCAACAGACGAAGAGAGUUCAGUAUGGGCUCAGGACAUGGAUGUCCCUGCAAAACCACAGCUCUGCCAGUAACAGGCCUGCCAUCUGAGCAAACUGCUUCACCUCUCUAAUCCUUAUAUGCCUCAAAUUUAAAAGGUAAGUUGCAAGUCAUC